This 238-nucleotide long non-coding RNA is filed under the name Capsicum annuum. RNAcentral's name for it is "long non-coding RNA (CANN_LNC017700)". Lineage: Eukaryota; Viridiplantae; Streptophyta; Magnoliopsida; Solanales; Solanaceae. The record is from RNAcentral.
AGGUAGAACAUCUAGCUAGGACUAGUUUAGACCAUGCUCCACUUCUAUUAUCUUGUGGAGUUUAUGUUCCUAUGGGAUCAACACCAUUCAAAUUCUUAAAUUCUGGACAGAAAGAGAGGAAUUCAUGGAUGUAGUGAGAGCUAAUUAGGUAAUUAGUGUAUGUAUUGACUUUUUGGUCAACUUAAGCAUAAAAUAAAGAGAACUAAAAUUGCUCUAUCUAGAUGGAGUAGAUCUUAUU